RNAcentral lists this transfer RNA (71 nucleotides) under Marmota monax (woodchuck). Its description in RNAcentral is "tRNA.Val". It matches the Rfam family "tRNA". From Rfam's summary of the family: Transfer RNA (tRNA) molecules are approximately 80 nucleotides in length. Their secondary structure includes four short double-helical elements and three loops (D, anti-codon, and T loops). The record is from RNAcentral. Lineage: Eukaryota; Metazoa; Chordata; Mammalia; Rodentia; Sciuridae.
GGGGUCAUAGCUCAAUGGUAGAGCACUUGCCUAACAUGUAUGAGGCACUGGGUUCAAUCCUCAGUACCACA